Molecule: long non-coding RNA, 497 nt
Filed under: Androctonus crassicauda
Lineage: Eukaryota; Metazoa; Arthropoda; Arachnida; Scorpiones; Buthidae
Source: RNAcentral
AUUAUUCAUGUGAAACUAUAACAUCUGAAUCAUAGAUAGCCUGUGAUUUAGAUGAAUCCUGUUGCAAAUAUCAAAGAAGAUCUGUUUCCAAUAGGACCAUUUCUAAUGAAUGUUUUAAUAUUUCAAUAUUUUUUCCCCUUUACCAUCUGUACACAAUGAGUAAAGGGGGGAAAUUUCCUCUUUACUCAUUGUGUACAGGUAUACCCCAGUAUACACCUGUACCACCUGUAUACAGUGUCCUCUUCACACCCCAGUGUAAAGGGGCUGUGUUCACUAUGUACAGGUGUAUAUACCUGUACACAGUGAACACAGUAGCAGAUUUAGGCAUGGUCUUUACGGGCUACAGCCCAGAGCCCUGUUCAAUCAAAAGGCCUUUUUGCAGUCAAAAAAAUAAUAAUUAAAAAUUUAAAAAAUAUAAGUUAUUCAAAAUUUUUCAUACCUAGAUAAAUUUUAAAUGAUUAGUUUGCACCACUAUUGGAUUUGAAUAAAAUAUCAAA